UACGUAGGGAGCGAGCGUUGUCCGGAUUCAUUGGGCGUAAAGAGCUCGUAGGCGGCUUGGUAAGUCGGAUGUGAAACCCCCAGGCUCAACCUGGAGUCGCCAUCCGAUACUGCCAUGGCUAGAGUCCGGUAGGGGCCCACGGAAUUCCUGGUGUAGCGGUGAAAUGCGUAGAUAUCAAGAGGAACACCAGUGGCGAAGGCGAGUCCCUGGACAACUUCUGACGCUGAGGCACGAAAGCUAGGGGAGCAAACAGG
RNAcentral lists this ribosomal RNA (254 nucleotides) under uncultured bacterium. RNAcentral describes it as "partial 16S ribosomal RNA". It matches the Rfam family "Bacterial small subunit ribosomal RNA", at positions 524 to 776 of the family's 1533-position model. The record is from RNAcentral.